AUUGAACGCUGCGGCAUGCCUUACACAUGCAAGUCGAACGGCAGCACGGGUGCUUGCACCUGGUGGCGAGUGGCGAACGGGUGAGUAAUACAUCGGAACGUACCUUAUCGUGGGGGAUAACGCAGCGAAAGCUGUGCUAAUACCGCAUACGCCCUGAGGGGGAAAGCGGGGGAUCGAAAGACCUCGCGCGAUUAGAGCGGCCGAUGCCUGAUUAGCUUGGUGGUGGGGUAAAAGCCCACCAAGGCGACGAUCAGUAGCUGGUCUGAGAGGACGAUCAGCCACACUGGGACUGAGACACGGCCCAGACUCCUACGGGAGGCAGCAGUGGGGAAUUUUGGACAAUGGGGGCAACCCUGAUCCAGCAAUGCCGCGUGAGUGAAGAAGGCCUUCGGGUUGUAAAGCUCUUUUGUCAGGGAAGAAACACCGGCUCUAACACAGUCCGGGAAUGACGGUACCUGAAGAAUAAGCACCGGCUAACUACGUGCCAGCAGCCGCUGUAA
RNAcentral lists this ribosomal RNA (500 nucleotides) under uncultured bacterium. RNAcentral's name for it is "partial 16S ribosomal RNA". It matches the Rfam family "Bacterial small subunit ribosomal RNA", at positions 29 to 523 of the family's 1533-position model. The record is from RNAcentral.